Molecule: ribosomal RNA, 153 nt
Filed under: uncultured Symbiodinium
Lineage: Eukaryota; Dinophyceae; Suessiales; Symbiodiniaceae
Description: 5.8S ribosomal RNA
Rfam family: 5.8S ribosomal RNA
About the family: 5.8S ribosomal RNA (5.8S rRNA) is a component of the large subunit of the eukaryotic ribosome. It is transcribed by RNA polymerase I as part of the 45S precursor that also contains 18S and 28S rRNA. Functionally, it is thought that 5.8S rRNA may be involved in ribosome translocation.
Source: RNAcentral
CAAUUUUCAGCGACGGAUAUCUUGGCUCGAGCACCUAUGAAGGGCGCAGCGAAGUGCGAUAAUCGUUGUGAAUUGCAGAACUCCGUGGACCAAUGGCCUCUUGAACGUGCAUUGCGCUCUUGGGAUAUGCCUGAGAGCAUGUCUGCUUCAGUG